Molecule: transfer RNA, 75 nt
Filed under: Hyphomicrobiales bacterium
Lineage: Bacteria; Pseudomonadati; Pseudomonadota; Alphaproteobacteria; Hyphomicrobiales
Also listed under: 2 other names
Description: tRNA-Lys
Rfam family: tRNA
About the family: Transfer RNA (tRNA) molecules are approximately 80 nucleotides in length.
Source: RNAcentral
GGGCCCGUAGCUCAGUGGUAGAGCAUCUGACUUUUAAUCAGGAGGUCGUGCGUUCGAUCCGCACCGGGCUCACCA